UGGGGAAUCUUGCGCAAUGGGCGAAAGCCUGACGCAGCCAUGCCGCGUGAAUGAUGAAGGUCUUAGGAUUGUAAAAUUCUUUCACCGGGGACGAUAAUGACGGUACCCGGAGAAGAAGUCCCGGCUAACUUCGUGCCAGCAGCCGCGGUAAUACGAAGGGGGCUAGCGUUGCUCGGAAUUACUGGGCGUAAAGGGCGCGUAGGCGGACAUUUAAGUCAGAGGUGAAAUCCCGGAGCUCAACUUCGGAACUGCCUUUGAUACUGGGUGUCUUGAGUGUGAGAGAGGUAUGUGGAACUCCGAGUGUAGAGGUGAAAUUCGUAGAUAUUCGGAAGAACACCAGUGGCGAAGGCGACAUACUGGCUCAUUACUGACGCUGAGGCGCGAAAGCGUGGGGAGCAAAC
This 401-nucleotide ribosomal RNA is filed under the name uncultured bacterium. RNAcentral's name for it is "bacterial SSU rRNA". It matches the Rfam family "Bacterial small subunit ribosomal RNA", at positions 355 to 773 of the family's 1533-position model. The record is from RNAcentral.